UGGGCAAUUUGGCUUUUGACCUAGAUGAG
RNAcentral lists this non-coding RNA (29 nucleotides) under Rattus norvegicus (Norway rat). The record is from RNAcentral. Lineage: Eukaryota; Metazoa; Chordata; Mammalia; Rodentia; Muridae.